GAUGAAGAACGUAGCGAAAUGCGAUAAGUAGUGUGAAUUGCAGAAUUCAGUGAAUCAUCGAAUCUUUGAACGCACAUUGCGCCCCUUGGUAUUCCAUGGGGCAUGCCUGUUCGAGCGUCAUCUAUACCCUCAAGCUCUGCUUGGUGUUGGGCGUCUGUCCCGCCCCCGCGCGUGGACUCGCCCCAAAUCCAUUGGCAGCGUUCCUUGCCCCCUCUCGCGCAGCACAUUGCGCUUCUCGAGGGCGGCUCCGGGACGCGAUCCAGCAAGAUGACCACCGUCUUUGACCUCGGAUCAGGUAGGGAUACCCGCUGAACUUAAGCAUAUCAAUAAGCGGAGGA
Molecule: unclassified non-coding RNA, 338 nt
Filed under: soil metagenome
Description: partial contains 5.8S ribosomal RNA, internal transcribed spacer 2, and large subunit ribosomal RNA
Rfam family: 5.8S ribosomal RNA (bases 1-120)
Source: RNAcentral